Molecule: ribosomal RNA, 803 nt
Filed under: uncultured crenarchaeote
Lineage: Archaea; Thermoproteati; Thermoproteota
Description: bacterial SSU rRNA
Rfam family: Archaeal small subunit ribosomal RNA
Source: RNAcentral
GCUCAGUAACACGUAGUCAACCUGCCCUAGAGACAUGAAUAACCCCGGGAAACUGGGAUUAAUACAUGAUAGAUCAUCUCAUCUGGAAGGAGAGAUGGUUUAAAGGGGUGCGCGAGCUUCUUUUGUGCAUCCGCUCUAGGAUGGGACUGCGGCCGAUCAGGCUGUUGGUGGGGUAAUGGCCCACCAAACCUGUAACCGGUACGGGCCUUGAGAGAGGGGGCCCGGAGAUGGACACUGAGAGAAGGGUCCAGGUCCUACGGGGCGCAGCAGGCGCGAAACCUUCGCAAUGCGCGAAAGCGUGACGAGGUUAAUCCGAGUGGUUCCCGCUGAGGGAAUCUUUUGUGGCUCUAAAAUGGCCAGUGAAUAAGGGGAGGGCAAGUCUGGUGUCAGCCGCCGCGGUAAUACCAGCUCCUCGAGUGGUCGGGGCGAUUAUUGGGCCUAAAGCAUCCGUAGCCUGUUCUGUAGGUCUUCUGUUAAAUCCAACGGCUUAACCGUUGGCCUGCAGAAGAUACCGCAGGACUAGGAGGCGGGAGAGGUGGACGGUACUCCACGUGUAGGGGUAAAAUCCUUUGAUCCGUGGAAGACCACCAGUGGCGAAGGCGGUCCACCAGAACGCGCUCGACGGUGAGGGAUGAAAGCUGGGGGAGCGAACCGGAUUAGAUACCCGGGUAGUCCCAGCCGUAAACGAUGCGAGCUAGAUGAUCCAAUCGCAAAUCGCGAUUGGAGUGUCGCAGGGAAGCCGUUAAGCUCGCCGCCUGGGGAGUACGGUCGCAAGACUGAAACUUAAAGGAAUUGGCGGGAUU